This 279-nucleotide ribosomal RNA is filed under the name uncultured cyanobacterium. RNAcentral describes it as "partial 16S ribosomal RNA". It matches the Rfam family "Bacterial small subunit ribosomal RNA", at positions 1254 to 1533 of the family's 1533-position model. The record is from RNAcentral. Lineage: Bacteria; Bacillati; Cyanobacteriota.
CUCGCGAGAGCUAGCAAUCCAUAAACCGUGGCUCAGUUCAGAUCGUAGGCUGCAACUCGCCUACGUGAAGUAGGAAUCGCUAGUAAUCGCAGGUCAGCAUACUGCGGUGAAUACGUUCCCGGGCCUUGUACACACCGCCCGUCACACCAUGGAAGUUGGCCAUGCCCGAAGUCGUUACUCCAACCCUUGUGGAGGAGGACGCCGAAGGUGGGGCUAAUGACUGGGGUGAAGUCGUAACAAGGUAGCCGUACCGGAAGGUGCGGCUGGAUCACCUCCUAA